This 253-nucleotide ribosomal RNA is filed under the name uncultured bacterium. RNAcentral describes it as "partial 16S ribosomal RNA". It matches the Rfam family "Bacterial small subunit ribosomal RNA", at positions 524 to 776 of the family's 1533-position model. The record is from RNAcentral.
UACGUAGGUGGCGAGCGUUGUCCGGAUUUACUGGGCGUAAAGAGCGCGCAGGCGGUCGUACAAGUCGCGUGUGAAAGCCCCCGGCUCAACUGGGGAGGGUCACGCGAUACUGUUCGACUCGAAGGCAGGAGAGGGAAGUGGAAUUCCCGGUGUAGUGGUGAAAUGCGUAGAUAUCUGGAGGAACACCGGUGGCGAAGGCGGCAUUCUGGACUGCAACUGACACUGAAAGACGAAAGCCAGGGGAGCAAACGGG